This 253-nucleotide ribosomal RNA is filed under the name uncultured bacterium. RNAcentral describes it as "partial 16S ribosomal RNA". It matches the Rfam family "Bacterial small subunit ribosomal RNA", at positions 524 to 776 of the family's 1533-position model. The record is from RNAcentral.
UACAGAGGAGCCAAGCGUUGUCCGGAUUGACUGGGCGUAAAGCGCACGCAGGCGGAUGCGCGCGUGGGGUGUGAAAUCUGGCCGCUUAACGGCCAGGCGCCAUCCCAUACGGCGCGUCUGGAGUGAUGCAGAGGUCGGUGGAAUUGCCGGUGUAGUGGUGAAAUGCGCAGAUAUCAGGAGGAACACCGGUGGCGAAGGCGGGUCUCUGGGCCGAUACUGACGCUGAGGAGCGAAAGCGUGGGGAGCAAACAGG